Long non-coding RNA from Eriocheir sinensis (Chinese mitten crab), 2868 nucleotides. RefSeq lists it as uncharacterized. The transcript is spliced from 2 exons. Lineage: Eukaryota; Metazoa; Arthropoda; Malacostraca; Decapoda; Varunidae. The record is from RefSeq and is a predicted model, not a curated record.
GCCACAAAUUUGGCCUGUCGCUGCUACCGGGUUAUACUAACACACACACACAUACACACACACGCACAACACUUCCUUGGUUUGUCUUUUAUGGGGCGCACUGGGGCAAGAAUUCAGGCAAUGGCUUAUGACUAGUGGUUAUUGCGUGGGCUGACAGCGGAUAGUCAAAGCAAAUACACGAGAGAGAGAGAGAAAGUGUUAAUAGAGAAGACAGAAGAGAGAGAGGAGUGAAAACAGGAGACAAUAGAGUGAAGAGAGGCGAGACGAGAGGAGUAAAAAUAAAUGAGACAAGAGAGAGAGGAAAAUUAAAGCAGACGAGAUGAGAGAGAGAAGUGAAGGCACGAGACAAGACAGGGAAGUGAAGACAGAAAUGAGAGAGAGAUGAGUUAAAACAGAGGAGACAAGAGAGAGAGGAGUAAAGACAUGAGAUACUGAAGAAGACAAAGAUAAAUGGAAAGGAAGAGGAAAUACGGGGAAAGGGAGUCAUAGAGAAAAAAAAAAGUGAGGAGUGAAAAAUUAAGAGAAAAUGAGAAAUAAAUACAUAACGGAAAGAGAAAACGGUUGAAGUAAAGGAGAUAUGAAAUAUGGAGAGAAAAGAGGGGAAAGAGAAGGGGAGGAGACAGGAAGCGAGAAUGUAACAAGGGGAAAAAGGAAGAGAAAACAAAACAGAGAAGUAAAUAAAUAAAGGAGAGAGAGAGAGAGAGGUUGAGGAGGUACCGUGUGAAAUAGGAAAAGAGAGAGAGGAAACAAUGCCUCCAUGGACCUGAUAAAGAUUAGUUACAUGUCUUUCACUUAUAUUUCUUUCCGGUAAAAUAAAAUAGGUGAAAUAAAUAAAAGAUAGAAAUAAACUGAGUACAGGAAAGUCUAUAUGUUCAAACUCGCUUAUAGGAGCAUAACACCAACACAGACAUGUAGUAACACGUUUCGCGAUGAAUUAACAAAACUGCGGCAAUGUCUCUGUAAGUACUUGAGUGGCACGAUCAUUUAUAAGGUACGCAAAAAUGGCUAUCCAGUAAUUAAACAACGAGAGAAUAUUACACAAAACCCUGAUGAAAAUGCCGAACGCUGGUGAAAUUCAGGGUUUGGGAGACGAGGGUUCCCUACUGUCUGUUUUGUGCUGGAACUCUCACACAUUUUAAAUCAUCAUCAUUAUCAGCUUCAUCACCAGCCUGUACUAUCAUUCCCUGGCAGGACAUGAGGCUCUCUCUACUCAAGUGUUUCCGUUAGUUUCAGUUUUGUGCCUCUAGUGUGAAAUUUUGAUCCAUUAAUAUUUAGUUUGCAAAUUUCGCAGGUUAAAAAUGUUUGGUUUUCUGAUUUCAUUGUAAAUACGCUUCGUUUUCAAAGUUCAAUGCAAAUAGUUUCGUUUUCAAAUUCUACUGCAAAACUGUUUCGUAUACUUUUUAAUUUCAGUACACUAUCUGCUGAACUGCCUCCCUUUGCUUUUUUUAUGUCAGUUAUUUCUUAAUCUGUGAAGUUAAAUACACAGCCAUAAUUGUGUCGCUCCCUGCUGAGAAAUGAGGUAAGCGACAUGGGGUCAAUCUUGAGAUAUCACUUGCCUCGCAUCAACCAACUAUUCAGGCAACUUUUCAGACUAAAAUUCAAAAAAGUUGUGGCAUCAUGGUAAUUUUUUUCACACACAUGCCUCGGAAAAGUGCAGAAACAACAAACUUCAACCGCAAUUUUCUCGUUUCCUUGUCCGUGUCGCUUACCUCACUUCAGCAGGGAGCAACACAAUAGUACUCAUGCAAAAGUGGUACGUAAACUUCCUAACAUCAUCACACCACCCGCUGAAUGGCCAGACCUCUACUUCUGUCUUGUGUCAGUUGUUUCCUAGUCUGUCAGCUUACAUACACAGACAUAUAUGUACCAACCUUGCUGAGUGUUAGAGACUGUAUAUAAAGGUACUGAUUGUAUAUAUGUUAACACCAGGAAACGACUGAGCAAAUAUAGGUUGUUUUAUGUCUUAGCUAUAAUAAGACACUAACACAGACACACAGACACACGCAUACACACACACCUGCCUAUUCCGAACAGUCCAGGCGUGUAAGAAACUCCAUUCACACUAGACGCGACACAGGGUAAGGUCAUAACACACACUGCCUCCCCUCCUAUCACAUGCACCACCCUUGGCAGCUUCCCUGUAUGUACUGAUGCAAGCUUUAGCACCCUAUCACAUCGCUGUCACUGGUCCCGAUAAUUCCUAUUGGCAUUAAGCUAAACAGGUACCUUCAUAUAUUCACAUUCGCUUACUUAUAUAUUUACACACAUACACAGACACAUACACACAUACCAUUCCACUGUAUCCUAACUUUAUUUCCAUUCUUACAAGUCACAUUUCCUCUCCAAACAACCACACCAGCAUAUCACAUUUCCUAUUGCACCUUUUAUCAACCUCUUUUCCUUCCCCUGUGCACUCUUUUAUUGCAUGGUUUGGCUUUCCUUGCACUACCAUUUCCAACUCCGACAUGUAACUCUUCUCCUUUUCCAUUUCCUAAAACCGUAUGCUGGCCCCCAAUAUCAAAACGAAAAAUAAAUAUAGCAUAAAUAAACAUCCUAAUUUCGUAGAACUAUCACAUUUCUACUUCUAUGCCAUACCAACCUUUGACAUUAUGCACAUCCCACUCUUCCAUUUCUUACAGUAAUAUGUCAACCCCAAAACUGAAUAAAAUAGAUACGAAUAUCCUUUUCCCACACUGUCACAUUUCCACCUCUAUGCCGAACUAACUUAUGACAUUGUACACUUCACUUUUCUAUGUUACCGCCUCGCUUCACAUUCACUUUUUGAAGAACACGGCCCAUUGGUAGAGUGUGGGAGCAACUUAUGACGCUAAACCCUUCUCUGCAACACACUCAAUAUGAACAUACUUU